RNAcentral lists this ribosomal RNA (497 nucleotides) under uncultured bacterium. RNAcentral's name for it is "partial 16S ribosomal RNA". It matches the Rfam family "Bacterial small subunit ribosomal RNA", at positions 28 to 507 of the family's 1533-position model. The record is from RNAcentral.
GAUGAAAGCUGGCGGCGUGCCUAAUACAUGCAAGUCGAGCGAACACACGAGGAGCUUGCUCCACUGACGUUAGCGGCGGACGGGUGAGUAACACAUGGAUAACCUACCUAUAAGACUGGGAUAACUUCGGGAAAACGGAGCUAAUACCGGAUAAUAUAUUGUACCGCAUGGUUCCAUAGUUAUUGACGGUUUUGCUGUCCCUUAUAGGUGGAUCCGCGCCGCAUUAGCUAGUUGGUAAGGGAACGGCUUACCAAGGCGACGAUUCGUAGCCGACCUGAGAGGGUGAUCGGCCACACUGGAACUGAGACACGGUCCAGACUCCUACGGGAGGCAGCAGUAGGGAAUCUUCCGCAAUGGGCGAAAGCCUGACGGAGCAACGCCGCGUGAGGGAUGAAGGUCUUCGGAUCGUAAAACUCUGUUAUUAGGGAAGAACAAAUGUGUAGUUAACUAUGCACGUCUUGACGGUACCUAAUCAGAAAGCCCCGGCUAACUACGUG